ACUCCUACGGGAGGCAGCAGUGGGGAAUAUUGCACAAUGGGCGCAAGCCUGAUGCAGCCAUGCCGCGUGUGUGAAGAAGGCCUUCGGGUUGUAAAGCACUUUCAGUCGUGAGGAAGGUAGUGUAGUUAAUAGCUGCAUUAUUUGACGUUAGCGACAGAAGAAGCACCGGCUAACUACGUGCCAGCAGCCGCGGUAAUACGUAGGGUGCAAGCGUUAUCCGGAAUUAUUGGGCGUAAAGAGCUCGUAGGCGGUUUGUCGCGUCUGUCGUGAAAGUCCGGGGCUCAACUCCGGAUCUGCGGUGGGUACGGGCAGACUAGAGUGAUGUAGGGGAGACUGGAAUUCCUGGUGUAGCGGUGGAAUGCGCAGAUAUCAGGAGGAACACCGAUGGCGAAGGCAGGUCUCUGGGCAUUAACUGACGCUGAGGAGCGAAAGCAUGGGGGAGCGAACAGGAUUAGAUACCCUGGUA
RNAcentral lists this ribosomal RNA (466 nucleotides) under uncultured bacterium. RNAcentral's name for it is "bacterial SSU rRNA". It matches the Rfam family "Bacterial small subunit ribosomal RNA", at positions 335 to 792 of the family's 1533-position model. The record is from RNAcentral.